AUACGUAGGGGGCGAGCGUUGUCCGGAAUGAUUGGGCGUAAAGGGCGCGUAGGCGGCCCGGUAAGUCUGGAGUGAAAGUCCUGUUUUUAAGAUGGGAAUUGCUUUGGAUACUGUCGGGCUUGAGUGCAGGAGAGGUAAGUGGAAUUCCCAGUGUAGCGGUGAAAUGCGUAGAGAUUGGGAGGAACACCAGUGGCGAAGGCGACUUACUGGACUGUAACUGACGCUGAGGCGCGAAAGUGUGGGGAGCAAACAGGAUUAGAUACCCUGGUAGUCCACACUGUAAACGAUGAAUGCUAGGUGUAGGGGGUAUCGACCCCUUCUGUGCCGCAGUCAACACAAUAAGCAUUCCGCCUGGGGAGUACGGCCGCCAGGUUGAAACUCAAAUGAAUUGACGGGG
RNAcentral lists this ribosomal RNA (397 nucleotides) under uncultured bacterium. Its description in RNAcentral is "partial 16S ribosomal RNA". It matches the Rfam family "Bacterial small subunit ribosomal RNA", at positions 523 to 918 of the family's 1533-position model. The record is from RNAcentral.